RNAcentral lists this ribosomal RNA (468 nucleotides) under Paenibacillus illinoisensis. RNAcentral describes it as "bacterial SSU rRNA". The record is from RNAcentral. Lineage: Bacteria; Bacillati; Bacillota; Bacilli; Caryophanales; Paenibacillaceae.
CCUACGGGGGGGGCWGCAGUAGGGAAUCUUCCGCAAUGGGCGAAAGCCUGACGGAGCAAUGCCGCGUGAGUGAUGAAGGUUUUCGGAUCGUAAAGCUCUGUUGCCAGGGAAGAACGUCCUUAAGAGUAACUGCUYAAGGAGUGACGGUACCUGAGAAGAAAGCCCCGGCUAACUACGUGCCAGCAGCCGCGGUAAUACGUAGGGGGCAAGCGUUGUCCGGAAUUAUUGGGCGUAAAGCGCGCGCAGGCGGUCAUUUAAGUCUGGUGUUUAAUCCCGGGGCUCAACCCCGGAUCGCACUGGAAACUGGAUGACUUGAGUGCAGAAGAGGAGAGUGGAAUUCCACGUGUAGCGGUGAAAUGCGUAGAGAUGUGGAGGAACACCAGUGGCGAAGGCGACUCUCUGGGCUGUAACUGACGCUGAGGCGCGAAAGCGUGGGGAGCAAACAGGAUUASAUACCCNKAGUAGUCA